CCCAGACUCCUACGGGAGGCAGCAGUGGGGGAUAUUGCACAAUGGGGGGAACCCUGAUGCAGCGACGCCGCGUGGGUGAAGGAGCGUUUCGGCGCGUAAAGCCCUAUCGGCAGGGAAGAAGGAGGACGGUACCUGACUAAGAAGCCCCGGCUAACUACGUGCCAGCAGCCGCGGUAAUACGUAGGGGGCAAGCGUUAUCCGGAUUUACUGGGUGUAAAGGGGGCGCAGACGGCAGCGCAAGCCAGGAGUGAAAGCCCGGGGCCCAACCCCGGGACUGCUCUUGGAACUGCGCGGCUGGAGUGCAGGAGGGGCAGACGGAAUUCCUAGUGUAGCGGUGAAAUGCGUAGAUAUUAGGAGGAACACCAGUGGCGAAGGCGGCCUGCUGGGCUUUUACUGACGCUGAGGCUCGAAAGUGUGGGGAGCAAACAGGAUUAGAUACCCGUGUA
This 446-nucleotide ribosomal RNA is filed under the name uncultured bacterium. Its description in RNAcentral is "partial 16S ribosomal RNA". It matches the Rfam family "Bacterial small subunit ribosomal RNA", at positions 330 to 792 of the family's 1533-position model. The record is from RNAcentral.